GCUUACUGCCAUACCACCCUGAACACGCCCGAUCUCGUCCGAUCUCGGAAGCUAAGCAGGGUCGGCCUGGUUAGUACUUGGAUGGGAGACCGCCUGGAAUACCAGUGCUGUAAGCU
Molecule: ribosomal RNA, 116 nt
Filed under: Labrus bergylta (ballan wrasse)
Lineage: Eukaryota; Metazoa; Chordata; Actinopteri; Labriformes; Labridae
Source: RNAcentral